GUAAGAGUGAGGCUGGUCUUCUCCCUUGGAAAAAGGCCCAGAAUAAAAUGUAUUGUUGACUAACAAGCUUAUCGAUUUGUGUGUGUGUGUGUGAACCCUGCUUUUCUCUCUACGACUCUCCUGUUGGUUUGUCAAGGCAUCCUGUUGUCUUGGAAUUUCCCCUCUGGGGGUCGAUAAAGUCCAUUCAUCCAUGCAUUCAUAGAAUAUCACUGACACAAAAAUCCACCACAAAAUGAACAGAACACAGGACAUCUUGAAAAUCUUACAACGUAUAUAAUUGACACAAGGUUCCAGGAACAAACAGCAAAUUACACAUAUUGACUCAAAACUCUUUCUUCUUGCAUCUACCAUCACCAUGAACACAAAUCUCCAAAUGUAAAAAAAAAAAAAAAAAAAAUUUUUUUUUUGAAUUGCUAUGGUUUUCUUUCAAAUCGUCACCUUUCGGAAAUGCCUGCCACAUUCAACUUGUGAAGGGGAAAGAGUAGUGUCCAGGGCCACUGGUUAUAUCAGACCUAGGCUCAAAUAAUAUUUGAAAUAAUUUCAAAUACUUUAUCUGUGCUUGAUUGAGCUGGCCUGGGUUAAUGGACAAAAUAGGGCCAUAACUGCAAACCACGCCCAUCUGCAAAACCCCAGGCAUGCUAAAGAUUUCAAUAGUAUUUCAUCCCAAAUCUGACAUUGCUAUUUCACCCUUCUCAGACUGCAGCCAUCUCAGUGGUCCAUCUCUCUCUGCAUAAUCCUAAUCAGUAGACAUAUAUGGAGUGUCGACUCACCUAUCAAUCCACCAUCUUGUGAUCUCUGUCUUUGUGCAGAUUGCCAUCCUAUCGAAUACCUAGGCCUCUUACGUCAUAAAAGUGCAGCGUUUAAUAAGAGGCAGUGGACUUUGAACUAUUCAGAUUAGCAUGCGAGAGUGUUUGGAGGAGAGAGAGGGGGAUAAAGGGUGUUUGGAGGAGAGAGAGGGGGAGUAAGGGGUGUUUGGAGGAGAGAGAGGGGGAGUAAGGGUGUUUGGAGGAGAGAGAGGGGAGUAAGGGUGUUUGGAGGAGAGAGAGGGGAGUAAGGGUGUUUGGAGGAGAGAGAGGGGGAGUAAGGGUGUUUGGAGGAGAGAGAGGGGGAGUAAGGGUGUUGGGAGGAGAGAGAGGGGGAGUAAGGGUGUUUGGAGGAGAGAGAGGGGGGAUAAGGGUGUUGGGAGGAGAGAGAGGGGGAGUAAGGGUGUUUGGAGGAGAGAGGGGGAGUAAAGGGUGUUUGGAGGAGAGAGGGGGAGUAAGGGUGUUUGGAGGAGAGAGGGGGAGUAAGGGUGUUU
Molecule: long non-coding RNA, 1297 nt
Organism: Oncorhynchus tshawytscha (Chinook salmon)
Lineage: Eukaryota; Metazoa; Chordata; Actinopteri; Salmoniformes; Salmonidae
Source: Ensembl